Molecule: small RNA, 656 nt
Filed under: Eudorina sp. no.Barb1
Lineage: Eukaryota; Viridiplantae; Chlorophyta; Chlorophyceae; Chlamydomonadales; Volvocaceae
Description: eukaryotic LSU rRNA
Rfam family: 5.8S ribosomal RNA (bases 234-387)
Source: RNAcentral
AAUCUAAUCAAAUCCACACAUGCGAACCAACCAUGUUGGCCAUCUGGGUCUAGCAUCUUCAAGCGGAUGCUUCCUGGAUUGAGAUGGGUGCUGGUCGAAAGACCGGUGCCUGUCUCAGUCGCUACUCCUACAAUGGCUGUGGCGUCGGUCUUUAUCUAACCAACCAACACCAAACCUAAUUUAUAAAGUAAAAUCGAGGGAUCAGCUUAGAGCUGGCUCUCAUUAACCAAGACAACUCUCAACAACGGAUAUCUUGGCUCUCAGAUCGAUGAAGAACGCAGCGAAAUGCGAUACGUAGUGUGAAUUGCAGAAAUACGUGAAUCAUCGAAUCUUUGAACGCAAAUUGCGCUCGAGGCUUCGGCCAAGAGCAUGUCUGCCUCAGCGUCGGGUUAAUACUCACAUGCCCAUUCCCAGGAAUGCGUGUGUGGAUCUGGCUGUCUCGGUUUUGUGCCUUUCUCUAACGAGAGGGUAUUUUAACCGGGUCGGCUGAAGUGCAGAUGUCAAAGCAUGGACCGUUAAUCGGGCCUCUACUGGGUAGGCAACUCGUUUGCUGUAUUGCUUUAGUAGAUGGCUUGGGUCCUGCCUUUGGCGCAAAGCAGGAGUAUCUGAUUUUUCGGAUACAACCAAUACCAUUUUCGACCUGAGCUCAGGCAAGA